CCGGCGCACGGGUGAGUAACACGUAUCCAACCUGCCGUCUACUCUUGGCCAGCCUUCUGAAAGGAAGAUUAAUCCAGGAUGGGAUCAUGAGUUCACAUGUCCGCAUGAUUAAAGGUAUUUUCCGGUAGACGAUGGGGAUGCGUUCCAUUAGAUAGUGGGCGGGGUAACGGCCCACCUAGUCAACGAUGGAUAGGGGUUCUGAGAGGAAGGUCCCCCACAUUGGAACUGAGACACGGUCCAA
RNAcentral lists this ribosomal RNA (241 nucleotides) under uncultured bacterium. RNAcentral's name for it is "partial 16S ribosomal RNA". It matches the Rfam family "Bacterial small subunit ribosomal RNA", at positions 95 to 334 of the family's 1533-position model. The record is from RNAcentral.